This 465-nucleotide ribosomal RNA is filed under the name uncultured bacterium. Its description in RNAcentral is "partial 16S ribosomal RNA". It matches the Rfam family "Bacterial small subunit ribosomal RNA", at positions 28 to 507 of the family's 1533-position model. The record is from RNAcentral.
GACGAACGCUGGCGGCGUGCUUAACACAUGCAAGUCGAACGGAAAGGCCCCUUUGGGGGUACUCGAGUGGCGAACGGGUGCGUAACACGUGUGUAACCUGCCCUUGACUUCGGGAUAACUUCAGGAAACUGGGGCUAAUACCGGAUAGGAAUCCUUGCUGCAUGGUGGGGGUUGGUAAGCUUCGGCGGUUUUGGAUGGACUGGCGGCUUAUCAGCUUGUUGGUGGGGUAGUGGCUUACCAAGGCUUUGACGGGUAGCCGGCCUGAGAGGGCGACCGGCCACAUUGGGACUGAGAUACGGCCCAGACUCCUACGGGAGGCAGCAGGGGGGAAGAUUGCACAAUGGGCGGAAGCCUGGUGCAGCAGCGCCGCGGGCGGGAUGACGGCCUUCGGGUUGUAAACCGGUUUCAGCAGGGGCGAAGCUUGUGGUGACGGUACCUGCAGAAGAAGCACCGGCUAACUACGUG